UCCAGGCCUGCUCUACAAAUGUUGUCCCUGCUGCUACUGCUGCUCUUUGGGCCCAAGCUGGCUGAGGCCUAUAGCAAGAAGGUGCCAGCCACGUGGCCUUGGCAGGCAAGCAUCUUCAUGGACACCCGGUACCGCUGUGAGGGGGCCCUCGUCUCCCAAGAGUGGGUGCUCACAGGAGCCAACUGUUUUGGCAGCUGGCCUUUGUCCCGCUUCACUGUGACCCUGGGUCCAGAUCGACUGGCACUGGACACUUAUAAAAACAAGUCAAGCGUAAAGGAGCUGCUUCUGUCUCCAGGAGGGUCUGGUGGCCUGGCCCUGGCACGGCUGGCAAGCCCACCACCUCUCAGCAGUGCUGUGCAGCCUGUCCCUCUGGCCACCCAGCCCAAACCGCUUUUCCCAUGGCAGCUCUGCUGGGCCCAAGGGUUUGAGCCUGACUUUGAUCCUUACAUCCCACCUCGAGAGCUGCACCGUGUCCUGCUGAAACCACUGCACCUCAGCACCUGCAAAGACACCUUUCGUACUCAACCUGACUGUCCUGACCUGAAGGUCAGCCUGCCUAAGGGCUCCCAGUGUGCCAGGCCCCCAGCGGGCCCACCUGAACUGGUGGUGAGGAUUCUAGCCAGCCCUAAGCAAGCUUGAGGUACUCCUUCCUCCACAAUCCCUCCUAACGCCAGCAGACUUGGUAGAGCAAGGCCUGGACACUCUCCCACCCUACCCGAGGUCUCCCACUCUAUAACACCCAGGUAUCUGAUGGCACCCCCUUGGUCUGUUUGCAAGCCAGCCGCUGGCUGCUGAAGGGUGUGAUGACCUGGGGUCCCUGUUUGGGACCUGGCCUCCCUGAAGUUUACACACCUGUGUACCCCUUCAUUUUCUGGAUCUGGGAAAAGGUCUUUAAUACCACCUUCAACACCAAGGCCAAGGCUUCCUUUUCUGAAUCUGGGAAAAGGUCUUUGAUACCAUCUUCAACACCAAAGCCAAGCAGCACCCUUUAGCCAGACCUAGAACCAGGUAGAGAAAGCAGUGAAGGUCUAGUCUGUGGGGUUCUAGAUCUGAAUCCUGGCUCGGCUAUUUACCUGAGGGUGUCUGGAUCGCCUCUUCUCUCCGACCCUGCUUCCUCCUUUGUGUUAUGGACAUGUAUUCAACUAUUCCUUCUUCCAACGAACUGUUACCAGUGCUAAAGAUGCACCUGGCCCCCUGGAGUCUGGGGGGCAGAGGGGAGGAGAGCACUAGCCUGAUUUAUGACAAUAAAAAAC
This is an RNA transcript of Talpa occidentalis (Iberian mole), 1253 nucleotides long. It is a transcript of the gene named tryptase gamma-like, with no coding region annotated. The record is from RefSeq and is a predicted model, not a curated record. Lineage: Eukaryota; Metazoa; Chordata; Mammalia; Eulipotyphla; Talpidae. The transcript is spliced from 5 exons.